UGCCGGGGCAAUGAAAACUCUGAGUUCUGUUAGCUUCAGAGUUUCGUUGCCCUGGCUUC
This 59-nucleotide microRNA precursor is filed under the name Branchiostoma lanceolatum (amphioxus). The record is from RNAcentral. Lineage: Eukaryota; Metazoa; Chordata; Leptocardii; Amphioxiformes; Branchiostomatidae.